RNAcentral lists this ribosomal RNA (484 nucleotides) under uncultured bacterium. RNAcentral describes it as "partial 16S ribosomal RNA". It matches the Rfam family "Bacterial small subunit ribosomal RNA", at positions 30 to 507 of the family's 1533-position model. The record is from RNAcentral.
AUUGAACGCUGGCGGCAGGCCUAACACAUGCCAGUCGAGCGGAUGAAGGGAGCUUGCUCCUGGAUUCAGCGGCGGACGGGUGAGUAAUGCCUAGGAAUCUGCCUGGUAGUGGGGGAUAACGUCCGGAAACGGGCGCUAAUACCGCAUACGUCCUGAGGGAGAAAGUGGGGGAUCUUCGGACCUCACGCUAUCAGGUGAGCCUAGGUCGGAUUAGCUAGUUGGUGGGGUAAAGGCCUACCAAGGCGACGAUCCGUAACUGGUCUGAGAGGAUGAUCAGUCACACUGGAACUGAGACACGGUCCAGACUCCUACGGGAGGCAGCAGUGGGGAAUAUUGGACAAUGGGCGAAAGCCUGAUCCAGCCAUGCCGCGUGUGUGAAGAAGGUCUUCGGAUUGUAAAGCACUUUAAGUUGGGAGGAAGGGCAGUAAGUUAAUUCCUUGCUGUUUUGACGUUACCAACAGAAUAAGCACCGGCUAACUUCGUG